UGGGGAAUUUUGGACAAUGGGCGAAAGCCUGAUCCAGCAAUGCCGCGUGUGUGAAGAAGGCCUUCGGGUUGUAAAGCACUUUUGUCCGGAAAGAAAUCCUUGGCUCUAAUACAGUCGGGGGAUGACGGUACCGGAAGAAUAAGCACCGGCUAACUACGUGCCAGCAGCCGCGGUAAUACGUAGGGUGCAAGCGUUAAUCGGAAUUACUGGGCGUAAAGCGUGCGCAGGCGGUUUGCUAAGACCGAUGUGAAAUCCCCGGGCUCAACCUGGGAACUGCAUUGGUGACUGGCAGGCUAGAGUAUGGCAGAGGGGGGUAGAAUUCCACGUGUAGCAGUGAAAUGCGUAGAGAUGUGGAGGAAUACCGAUGGCGAAGGCAGCCCCCUGGGCCAAUACUGACGCUCAUGCACGAAAGCGUGGGGAGCAAACAGGAUUCAGAUACCCUGGUAGUCCAGCGCCCUAAACGAUGUCAACUAGUUGUUGGGGACUUCAUUUCCUUAGUAACGUAGCUAACGCGUGAAGUUGACCGCCUGGGGAGUACGGUCGCAAGAUUAAAACUCAAAGGAAUUGACGGGG
This 573-nucleotide ribosomal RNA is filed under the name uncultured bacterium. RNAcentral describes it as "partial 16S ribosomal RNA". It matches the Rfam family "Bacterial small subunit ribosomal RNA", at positions 355 to 918 of the family's 1533-position model. The record is from RNAcentral.